This 1500-nucleotide long non-coding RNA is filed under the name Nicotiana benthamiana. RNAcentral's name for it is "long non-coding RNA (NBEN_LNC030193)". The record is from RNAcentral. Lineage: Eukaryota; Viridiplantae; Streptophyta; Magnoliopsida; Solanales; Solanaceae.
UAAAACUUUGUUCUACUAUCAGUGACUGCUCAUACUCAACAAGUCUAUAAUCAGUAGGCAAGCCUAAUAGGUCUUUGACACUUUGGUCCUAAUUUAACACUGUAUACUCUCUAAUCACCUAGAUAUCAUGUUCUAUGAUUUUCUCCUAAACACCUGAAAUCGUUGUUUGAGACAUGCACUUACUUUGUUUGUGGAGGUAAAAUGUUAACCUUUCAUUGUUCCCUCAUUAAUGCAGUCCUAACUAUUUUGGUUGACACUGAUAUUUUCCCCUUUAAGUACCUUAGAAUGGCCUAGAACUACCUAAACUAUGGUCCUAAAUACCGCCAGGGCCACAAAGAAGGGACGAGCGGUACACGCAUAGGAUAUCUUUCAAGGUUUCUAGAACUCUUUAGGCUAUGACCGUGGGGAUUGAAUUGGAUUGUAAGGAUGUGAUGACUAUGCACUAUUGUCACGUAUAUCCCCUCAUUGAGGAGUGAUUACAGAACAUUGUGUAGGUAUGACCAUGUAAGCUAAUAAACCUAGGGCCCCUCUUUACCAACUCCCGUUGUUAAAAUGAAUUUACUUUUCUUUCCAUAUGUGCAAAUUGCUUAAACCUUUUCCCUUUUUUUCUUUACAUGAAUCAUACAUGUACUUAGAAUGUCUAAACAUGCCUUUAUUUGCGAGUAUGUGCUAAAAGUGUUUAUUUGUUAAAAUGAAUAAUUCACAUUGUUUAAGCUCAACUAAGACCCACCAUUAUUGGCUGCAAAGGGUGCCUAACACCUUCCCCUCAAGGUUAUUUCGAGCCUUACCCUAUUUAUGGUAUUGCAAACUAGUCUAUGAGUUAACAACUCUAGGUGCCCUAACGCACCAUAAUCCGUUUGGUGGCGACUCUUCAAAUACCCAAUUCCCAAAACGAAACUAUUCCCCAAUGAACGUCGAAACUCGGACUUCCCAGCAAAGGGAAAGAAGGGGGCGCAAUAGUGGCCAUUGAUACAGAUUUUCCUACCGGUCCUAAGAACAACGUCCGUAGAGAUAUCUGAUCGGCUGCAUAAAACAUGUAUGGUGGUAAAGAUGGUGGGAUCAACUUUUGGGUAAUCAUCGAAGUAUUACAGGUUCAACAGGAAGCGAUACCACUUUGUUACGGCCGAAACCUGGGGAGGCAUGGUAAGAACUCGUGUCGUACUGGCCCGAGCGAACCACUCUGUAACUCAUUUUUCUCUCUCUUAUCUAUCAUGGGCCAAAUGGCUACAAUUCGUAAUAUAUAACCAUAAGUGGCAAAAUACUGUAUUAUUGAACCAAUUUUGUUAAAACAUGAAUACAGAUGACCGUCAAGGCCCCUGACAUAUUUUAAAAAAUGAACCUUUGUCUACAAAGCCUCUAAGAUUGUUUGCCAUCAAAUGGGACAUGGUUCCGACCUACCCAUAUGUCUGUAACAAAACUCUGAUAUGAUGACUUAUAGGCUCGGAUGCACCCCAAAUGAAAUGAAGUCUUACCGAUCUUUUGCUAAAUGCUAAUCUCCUC